AUUGAACGCUGGCGGCAUGCCUUACACAUGCAAGUCGAACGGCAGCACGGGUGCUUGCCCCUGGUGGCGAGUGGCGAACGGGUGAGUAAUACAUCGGAACAUGUCCUGUAGUGGGGGAUAGCCCGGCGAAAGCCGGAUUAAUACCGCAUACGAUCUACGGAUGAAAGCUGGGGACCUUCGGGCCUCGCGCUGUUGGGUUGGCCGAUGGCUGAUUAGCUAGUUGGUGGGGUAAGGGCCUACCAAGGCGACGACCAGUAGCUGGUCUGAGAGGACGACCAGCCACACUGGGACUGAGACACGGCCCAGACUCCUACGGGAGGCAGCAGUGGGGAAUUUUGGACAAUGGGCGAAAGCCUGAUCCAGCAAUGCCGCGUGUGUGAAGAAGGCCUUCGGGUUGUAAAGCACUUUUGUCCGGAAAGAAAUACUUGGCCCUAAUACGGUCGGGGGAUGACGGUACCGGAAGAAUAAGCACCGGCUAACUACGUG
Molecule: ribosomal RNA, 486 nt
Filed under: uncultured bacterium
Lineage: Bacteria
Description: partial 16S ribosomal RNA
Rfam family: Bacterial small subunit ribosomal RNA
Source: RNAcentral